This 268-nucleotide ribosomal RNA is filed under the name uncultured bacterium. Its description in RNAcentral is "partial 16S ribosomal RNA". It matches the Rfam family "Bacterial small subunit ribosomal RNA", at positions 524 to 776 of the family's 1533-position model. The record is from RNAcentral.
UACGGGGGGAGCGAGCGUUAUUCGUCAUGACUGGGCGUAAAGGUGAUCUGUAGAUGGCUAUUAAAUAACAUUACCUGUAAAGCCUUAUGGGAAGACAUUAGGAGUGUGGUUUUAGUUAUUGAAUUUGCUAAGAGUAUACUAGAUGGUUGCAGUACCUUCAGUGUAGAGGGUGGAAUUCAAGCAUACUGUUGGGGACUCGCAAUAGGUGAAAACGGCAACCGUUGGUAUUACUGACAUUGGAGGGAUGAAAGCAUGGGGAGCAAACAGG